Molecule: transfer RNA, 63 nt
Filed under: Japananus hyalinus
Lineage: Eukaryota; Metazoa; Arthropoda; Insecta; Hemiptera; Cicadellidae
Description: tRNA-Gly
Source: RNAcentral
AUUCAUUUAGUAUAAAAAGUAUACUAAGCUUCCAACUUAAUGGUUAAUUAAUUUAAAUGAAUA